UAAAACAAGGAACACAAGAAAUGACAUCCUCUUCUACAUCAUUAAGCUUUCCAACACAGUGCACAAAGGAAACCACAUCUAAACCCACCAGUACCUCCUCAACUGAGGCAAACCCACAGACAGAACAAGGAACACAAGAAAUGACAUCUCCUACACAGAGCACAAAAGAAACCACAUCUAAUCCCACCAGUACCUCCUCAACUGAGGCAAACCCACAGACAGGACCUCUUUUGAUCCCUGUUGUAUCUGUGGUCCUGGUGCUGUUUCUGAGUGGACUAUUCUGCUUCAUACGUGCUCAACGAAAAAGAAGAAACAAUCCAGGUACGAAAACCACACCCACUCAUU
Molecule: long non-coding RNA, 345 nt
Organism: Astyanax mexicanus (Mexican tetra)
Lineage: Eukaryota; Metazoa; Chordata; Actinopteri; Characiformes; Acestrorhamphidae
Exons: 3
Source: RefSeq, a predicted model, not a curated record